GAAGAACGCUGGCGGCGUGCUUAACACAUGCAAGUCGAACGGAAAGGCCCUGCUUUUGUGGGGUGCUCGAGUGGCGAACGGGUGAGUAACACGUGAGUAACCUGCCCUUGACUUUGGGAUAACUUCAGGAAACUGGGGCUAAUACCGGAUAGGAGCUCCUGCUGCAUGGUGGGGGUUGGAAAGUUUCGGCGGUUGGGGAUGGACUCGCGGCUUAUCAGCUUGUUGGUGGGGUAGUGGCUUACCAAGGCUUUGACGGGUAGCCGGCCUGAGAGGGUGACCGGCCACAUUGGGACUGAGAUACGGCCCAGACUCCUACGGGAGGCAGCAGUGGGGAGUAUUGCACAAUGGGCGGAAGCCUGAUGCAGCAACGCCGCGUGCGGGAUGACGGCCUUCGGGUUGUAAACCGCUUUCGCCUGUGACGAAGCGUGAGUGACGGUAAUGGGUAAAGAAGCACCGGCUAACUACGUG
Molecule: ribosomal RNA, 468 nt
Filed under: uncultured bacterium
Lineage: Bacteria
Description: partial 16S ribosomal RNA
Rfam family: Bacterial small subunit ribosomal RNA
Source: RNAcentral